This 107-nucleotide ribosomal RNA is filed under the name Dipodomys ordii (Ord's kangaroo rat). Lineage: Eukaryota; Metazoa; Chordata; Mammalia; Rodentia; Heteromyidae. The record is from RNAcentral.
AUUGUUAGUCGUAGUACCCUGAAUACACCUGAUCUGAUAACAGAAGCUAAGCAGGGUUAGGCCUGGUUAGUACUUGGAUUGCUUUGGCCAUGCUAUAACUGUUGAUU